RNAcentral lists this ribosomal RNA (347 nucleotides) under uncultured eukaryote. RNAcentral's name for it is "SSU rRNA". It matches the Rfam family "Eukaryotic small subunit ribosomal RNA", at positions 594 to 945 of the family's 1831-position model. The record is from RNAcentral.
AUAGCGUAUAUUAAAGUUGUUGCAGUUAAAAAGCUCGUAGUUGAACUUCAGGCCUGGCUGGGUGGUCUGCUUAACGGCAUGUACUGUCUGGCUGGGUCUUACUUCUUGGUGAGCCGGUGUGCCCUUUAUUGGUGUGCAUUGGGGAACCAGGACUUUUACCUUGAGAAAAUUAGAGUGUUCAAAGCAGGCUUAUGCCCGAAUACAUUAGCAUGGAAUAAUAAAAUAGGACGUGUGGUUCUAUUUUGUUGGUUUCUAGAGUCGCCGUAAUGAUUAAUAGGGAUAGUUGGGGGCAUUGGUAUUGAGUCGCUAGAGGUGAAAUUCUUGGAUUGACUCAAGACCAACUAUUG